This 1373-nucleotide long non-coding RNA is filed under the name Heterocephalus glaber (naked mole-rat). RNAcentral's name for it is "lncRNA (ENSHGLG00100051419.1)". Lineage: Eukaryota; Metazoa; Chordata; Mammalia; Rodentia; Bathyergidae. The record is from RNAcentral.
AAUGCCAAUGGGGCUUUGUGCCAACGAGAAAAUCAGUAGAGAGUAUAACAGAAUGAGGAGGAUGGCCAGAGUGGUUGUGGGGGUGACGUUUUACACAGGGAGGUCAAGGUGACAUUUGAGGAGUGGCCCCAAAGAAGUAAGGACACAGACCUGUGGGUACGUGAGCGCAGAAACAGCCCAGGUAAACGGCCCCCGAGGGAACUGCCCCGGCCAGGUCCACAGGUGACAGGGAGAGGAUUCAGGAGACGAGAGAAGAGCCGAGAUGCCACGAAGCCAGUGUGUGCCUGGAAGGAUACAGCAGACGAGGGCUUGCGAAGUGUGGUCGAGAUUCUGUAUUUUAUUCCUAGUGAGAUGGAAGGAUGCUGAAGGGAUCCGAGCAGCGAAGUGAGGGAAUCUGACUGGUAAUUCAGAACCCAGGGCGCAGAAGUGGGGCAGGGAGGUAGGGUGGGAAAAUAGAAGGUGGGAACCUCCGCAGUUACGGUUCUGGGGACAAGGCAGUCCCAUUUGUGACGUGCUCUGCGGACAGUGGGGUGGCCUGGACAUUCGACGGAAGGCAGCAGGCGUACUGCCGUGGAGCCGGGGCUGGCCUCAGAGGGGGAGAAGGGUCGGGAGUUUGGACCUGCUGAGCCUGAACUAAAAGUGAAGCUAUCCGGGACACAGCCGGGACCCAGUGUGCUCUCCAGAGGGGCAGGGGAUCUGGCAGCAGGCGCAGAACAAGCUCUUGGGAGAAGUUCCGCCCAACGUCAGAGCGGGAACACGAGGGCACCCAGGGAGAAGUGUUGGAAAGCGGCCCUCCGAGAGCACGGGGCUGCACGUAAUGCCGUCUGCCUCGUCGUGACAGCAUGAAACCCUCACAAACGUGAUGCCCGAGCUUGGACUUCUCAGCCUCCGAAACGGUAUCAGAGGUCUCUGAAAGAAAUACAAUUGGUAAACGACCGAGGUACUGGGAUAACCUCUCAGGAAUCGUUCCCCACCAGUCCUUUCCCUCCGGCGGUCUAUCAAGCUCACAGGGAAAGACUGAAAAAAGAGCAUCACCGAUGGCCCGGAUGUGAUUGCUUCCUGCACGGCACUGGGAUGUAGCCAACACUUACUGGUGGUCACAGGCACAGUGGGCAUCCACCUACCUCCGACUGCCCACCUCUGUCAACCCUCAGCUCCCGGGUGCUCUCCAGCACUUGGACAGCUCCUCCCCUCCGUGCGGGCUCUGCUCUGCUGCCAGAGGAAAUUUUCUUGUCCUGCCUGAGCUGGGAAGCGAGGAAGUGGCAGAGAUACACACACCUGAGCAAAGAGGAAUGAGCCCAAGAAUGCAUGUACCAGACUCCCGUUCUCAUCUAAAUUAUCAUGUCUAUAAUAAAUGUAUCAGUAGAGAAAAG